Molecule: non-coding RNA, 74 nt
Organism: Gopherus flavomarginatus (Mexican gopher tortoise)
Lineage: Eukaryota; Metazoa; Chordata; Testudines; Testudinidae
Source: the annotation of a RefSeq genome assembly
GGCACUGUGGCUUAGUUGGUUAAAGCAACUGUUUACUAAACAGGAGAUCCUGGGUUCAAAUCCCAGUGGUGGCU